Molecule: non-coding RNA, 84 nt
Organism: Triticum aestivum (bread wheat)
Lineage: Eukaryota; Viridiplantae; Streptophyta; Magnoliopsida; Poales; Poaceae
Source: Rfam
CUUAUACUCCCUCCGUCCCAAAAUUCUUGUCUUAGAUUUGUCUAGAUAUCUAAGACAAGAAUUUUGGGACGGAGGGAGUACUAG